AUUUACAAAAGAAAGAGGUUUAAUAGAUUUACACUUCCAUGUGGCUGGGGAAGCCUCACAAUCAUGGUGGUAGGAAAGGAGUAGCAAGUCACACCUUACAUGGAUUGCUGCAGGCCAAAAGAGAGAUUCUUCAUCUGUUUUAGAGAAAU
Molecule: long non-coding RNA, 149 nt
Organism: Sapajus apella (tufted capuchin)
Lineage: Eukaryota; Metazoa; Chordata; Mammalia; Primates; Cebidae
Exons: 3
Source: RefSeq, a predicted model, not a curated record